RNA transcript from Biomphalaria glabrata, 4895 nucleotides. It is a transcript of the gene named transient receptor potential cation channel subfamily M member 8-like, with no coding region annotated. The record is from RefSeq and is a predicted model, not a curated record. The transcript has 28 exons. NCBI's taxonomy places the organism in Eukaryota, Metazoa, Mollusca, Gastropoda, Planorbidae.
AUUCAAAUUUGAAAACAAAUGCGAACGUUUGUCUUUUCAGUUUUAGGCCUACUAGAAAGUAGUGAAGGCUCCACUUAGGCCUACUAGAAAGUAGUGAACUCUCCACUUAGGCCUACUAGAAAGUAGUGAAGGCUCCACUUAGGCCUACGUUUUAACGAAAUAAAUGUAUUAUCGCAGUGCAAUAUUUUCGAAAUUAUGUCUUUUUUUUACGACACUUUUUUGUGUUCUAUUGUAUAAUGACGUAUUGCUCAUUUAUUUCAGCUAAUGCAUAUAGUUUGGUCUAAGAUCUAAAGAUUAUAAAUUGAUCUAAGAUCUAAGGAUUAGAGUGCUAAGAUUUAAUCAUUAUAGUUUAAGACCUUUGUAACAGAUUAUAUGCUGUAGACGACAGAAACUUAGGCCAAUAUAUGAGUGUUGACUUGCGAACGUUGUUCACCGGAUACAUGCUCUAAAUCCUUAUCAUACAUAUGACAGGAGAAACAGAUACAAGCUAACUUAUUGAUACAGCAUUAUACAUAACAAGUCAGAAAUGGACCAGCGACCCAAGACUCCAAAAGUUAUCAAAAACCUCAAUGAAAAAGACAUCAAAUAUGGUCAGUUUUACUUUGUAUCUGACCAAACCACUCAAAUCAGUCAAUUUUAUUGUCUACACAAUGAUGGAGCUACAGAACAUCGCCGUGAGGGGGACAAGAGAAAAAGAUCAAAGAAAGACAAACAAGAUACACACCCUGGAACACGUGCGGACGGUGCAAGUCCACGUAGAGCUGUCACUAUUGAUUCUUUGUCUCGAAAUUUUCAAAUACCGAACAAUGAAUCGGGAGCGAAACCAAAGCUCGUUAUCUGGUUACUCUGUAAUUUAAAAAGCCCAAAUGACCAGGGCAUAAACGCAACUGACACUACGGGUCAAAGCUCAAAAAGUGAAGAUAAAAAGGACCAUGGCGAGCUGAAAGCAAACAAAAAAUCCAUUCGAAUGUGGUGUAGAGAACUGAUAACAUUCAUCGCAAACACAGAAGCAUGGCUCAUAGCUGAAGGAGAAGACACAGAAUUUUUCCGUUACAUUGGCGACGCAAUCCGAGAUCAUCAGCUUGUCUCCAGAUGUAAAGACCCCAUUGUGUUUGGUCUUACGACUUGGCCGUAUAUUCAAACGGAUUUGUUUAAAGAGGUGGAACUUCAAAAUACUUUCAGCAUUACCAAAAUAAGCCAUACAAGAACAACAACCAAAACAAGAACAUGCCAUAACAUUGUGUACGAGAAGCCAGAUGGAUCAAAGAGAAAACUUAGUCCAAAUAUCAGAUACUACAUUUUCUCAGAAAACACAGACAAUUCUUCAGCAUUGAGACCAGGUUUAGAAAAAGAUAUAUUGGAAUGUGUUAUAGUCCUGAACAGUGCCAGCAUAUCUUCAAUUCAUGCACAACUGGAACAACAACAUAACAACACUCCAGUCAUUAACAUAUUGAAAUUUGGAGAAAAAUAUCGAAUUCAUCUAAGAAAAACAAAUCAAAUCAUAUCUUCAACAAGUUGUGAAGAAUCAGAAGCAGAACAGAAAGAAGCCACAGAAACAGGAAAAUGUGAUAUUUGUGAUAAUGAGUAUAGUUCCAACAAAUAUUCAAAGAAUGAAAACAGAAGAUGUGUUUUAAAAUUAUCAUCAUCCAGCAGAAUUGAUCAAGUUAUUUUGGAAGCCCUUACAACAGCAUCAAGCACUUCGGAUAAAAAGCAAGAUCUUCACAGGUUACUUUCUCUAUCGUUUGCCUCUGAUCAAUUUCCCAUUGUCCGAGACAAUAAGAAGAUGUGGCAAGAGAUGUUUUUCAAGAAAUACCUAUGGCUUGGGGUUGAAGCUGUAAAGUACAACCAGGUUAAGUUUAUUGAUGACAUCAUCCAGAGCAGGACUGACUUUAAGAAAGCUUUUAGCGAGCACCAAAUAGGAGAGCUUUAUAAUAGAGAGAAUACAUCAAGCAAUACUUCAAAAGAUCUGAAUGUAAAGCUUCUAGAACGAAUUGGACAAUACUGUGAUGCAAAAAGACUAGCUAUGUUUAUGCAUGUUACUGAUACAGAAGCUGCCAAAUUCUCCACUGACAAAAAUAAAAAUGCAUUCCAAGAUGUGUUCAUCUGGUCUUUGAUUUACAAUAAAUUGGAGUUAUCUUUUCUUCUUUGGGAAAAUGUAGCGCAUCACAUUGGUGCUGCUCUGUUUGCCUAUUAUGUAUUCAAAGUGAAGUACAAAGCUACAGAUGAGACAGGACAUAAGGAAAUACUCCAGAACAAUAUGAAAGACUAUUCCAGAAGGGCAGUUGAGAUUAUCAAUCUGAGCUAUAAGAAAAAUAAGCAUAAAACACUGGAUUUGCUGACAAUGAGAAUGAAGUGCUGGGGAGAAGCCAGCUGCAUAGAAAUGGCCAUAGAUCUGGAGAAUCUUGAGAUUUUGAACCACCCAGCUUGUAGAUUUCUGUGUAAAAGAUGUUGGUAUCAGGGUCAAAGUGAGAAACUUGUAGCCUUGAAGCAGAUGACUGAGACAAAUGAAUCACAAGAUGUGAUUAAACAGAGCACAGUUACAUCUGUUUGGAUGAAAUAUUUUUUUUCUCCCAUCAUCAUUUUCUGGUUUGAUUUUCUUGGUCUGAUCUUAUUUUUGAUGCUUUAUGCACUACUUUUGUUAACCAAACUGGAAAUGUCCAAGUUUCAUUGGAUAGAAUGGAUCUUGUGGUCUUGGAUCAUCACCUACACUCUGGAGGAUAUUUUCAGUAUAUUUGACAAUGUCUCAAGAGUGGUAAAAAGCAGAAGAAAAAUGGCUGAAAAUUCAUCCACUAAAAAAGUGCAUAAGUCAGCAUUAAUAUUUAUGUCUUUUCUUCGGGUCAUACGAAAAAGUCGUCCUUUUCAGAGAUUGGAGUUUGCUGCACUUCUUUUGUUCUACAUAGCAUGGAUAAGUCGAUGGGCUGCCUACUACCAAGCAAGAGAGGACAGCUCUGCCAUGAAUGUAGCAAUAGUUUUUUUUAGUCUGGACUACAUUCUCUUCACACUGCUUCUCUUCAAGUUUUUUUUCUCCAGUAGAUUCUUGGGACCUUUACUUUUGAUGAUAAUUGAAAUGAUUAGUACCAUGGGCAAAUUUUUACUGAUUUUGCUAGUGAUUUUCAUAGCAUUUGCUAUUGCCUCUGAAUCAGUUCUGUAUCCCAAGACUCAAAUCAACUCCUUGUUGGUGUACCACAUAUUUAGAAAGGCCUACUGGAUACUGUUUGGGGAAUUCUUUUUAGAGGAAAUAGAAAUCAGAGACAUGCAAAGUGAUCAAUGUACGAAUGACCCUGAGAAGUACAACCACUACGCCUCUCUUCGAUGCCCUUCGUACCUGGGCAGUUACUUUGUGCCUAUCUUGAUGGGAGUCUAUGUCAUGAUUGCCAAUGUGCUUCUCUUUAAUCUGCUAAUAGCCAAGUUUAAUUCAACCAUUGAACACAUUGAGAAAAAUGCUGAAGUGAUCUGGCAGUUACAGAGGUUCCAGUUGACCAGGGACUACUCUAAGAAGACCAUACUGGCCCCUUGUUUCUUACCAAUCACUCUAAUUAUCCUUUUGACCACCAAAUCCAGAGCAGACAUAUUCAAAAAAAGGAUACCAAAUGAACGCAUGACAAAAGAACUCAUUCUACUGGAGCGACUAGUUGUAGACGAGACCAGUUCACAGAAAGAAAAAGUCGUUGUUCGAAGAUCAAUUCAUCAAGAUUUUCAAAACCACUCUUCGCCCAGUAGACCUAGAUACUUUACCAGUACGUCCGGGUGUCGAGAGCAAGAUGGCUCGAAGAUUUGGUUUCUACCUGCAGAGUUUGUUGGUUUUCAGCUCGCUUUUAGCAAUCGUAUUUUCAGAUGACUGUGUUCAGCUACAAAGUUCUGAAUACGAAAACAAAUAUUUCCAAAAGCUGAUGUGCACACUGAACCCUGCCUGUGGCACAUUCGAUGCUGCGACAUUUACACCAGAAACGAUUGAGCUCUACGAAGGAGACAAUCUUUUGGUCACAGCUUCUAAGCGAUCGAUGUACACCUUAACGAGGUUGGGCCAGGUCGUUGCUCAAGAUGUCUUUCGAAACACCAAUUGGAAUUCAGAACUUUCUUUCGGCAUCGCUGUACCGCAAGAAGGCGACAAACUCGUCACCUACAGGUGCACAGUUAAAGGGAAAUCCCAGAACGGAGAAUCGUUAACACUCACGACCACCUACUCUAGUGUCAAAGGCCCAAUAGGCGAACCAGUAAAUCCCCCCAACGAGCCUCAACCAGCUACAGAGAGAGACAGCAUGGCAACGGAACCCCCUAGAAUCGGUAGCGAAGAAACAAGACCCUGUUUGACUUUGACCGCUGGAUUGACCACACCAGUGUCGUCCCCUCGAAAUCCAACUGACCACUUUGUCUUCUCAUGCAGGGUCAGUAAAUGCAAUGAUGAGGACCAGUGGACGCUGACGUCCAUUAGAGCUAUCAAAAUGAAUGCUGCGGCGGAGGUCGCUUUAGGAAGCAUAGAGAGACCCCAGGGCGUCGCAGUAGCGUUGGCGAGGAAACCUUCAGAACAAAAUUUCAGAGUCACUGGUCUUCUGCGGGAUGAUGGUAGCAGCUUCCUGAACGCGGAGUGGGAUCGACCUGAUGGGAAUGACUACGGAGUUUACCGAUGUACAGUGACCUUCUCCAACAACCAGGCGAUGUCAAGGACAGUAUCUGAGAACAGUGAAUACCAGUCAACAACAAACUUCGUGAACUCUCUUUUGGGCACAAUAGGCGGCUUAACGAUACGACCACUUGUGUGACAUCGCCAAAUGAAACUCUAUUUUUGGACAUUGUUUAACUGUCACUGUCUUGAAUCGGCUGUGGUUUUGUGGAAAGAAAAACGGUGAAAAAAUACAGAAAUCUAAAAUAAUUAAAAUGCCUUUGGUUUUUAGCAA